Molecule: ribosomal RNA, 490 nt
Filed under: uncultured bacterium
Lineage: Bacteria
Description: partial 16S ribosomal RNA
Rfam family: Bacterial small subunit ribosomal RNA
Source: RNAcentral
AGUGAACGCUGGCGGUAGGCCUAACACAUGCAAGUCGAACGGCAGCACAGUACGAGCUUGCUCUUACGGGUGGCGAGUGGCGGACGGGUGAGGAAUACAUCGGAAUCUACUUUUUCGUGCGUUAACGUAGGGAAACUUACGCUAAUACCGCAUACGACCUACGGGUGAAAGCAGGGGAUCUUCGGACCUUGCGCGUUUGCCUGAGCCGAUGUCGGAUUUGCUAGUUGGCGGGGUAAAGGCCCACCAAGGCGACGAUCCGUAGCUGGUCUGAGAGGAUGAUCAGCCACACUGGAACUGAGACACGGUCCAGACUCCUACGGGAGGCAACAGUGGGGAAUAUUGGACAAUGGGCGCAAGCCUGAUCCAGCCAUACCGCGUGGGUGAAGAAGGCCUUCGGGUUGUAAAGCCCUUUUGUUGGGAAAGAAAAGCAGCAGGUUAAUACCCCGCUGUUCUGACGGUACCCAAAGAAUAAGCACCGGCUAACUUCGUG